RNAcentral lists this ribosomal RNA (650 nucleotides) under uncultured bacterium. RNAcentral describes it as "bacterial SSU rRNA". It matches the Rfam family "Bacterial small subunit ribosomal RNA", at positions 8 to 655 of the family's 1533-position model. The record is from RNAcentral.
AGAGUUUGAUCAUGGCUCAGAUUGAACGCUGGCGGCAGGCCUAACACAUGCAAGUCGAACGGUAACAGGAAGUGCUUGCACUUCGCUGACGAGUGGCGGACGGGUGAGUAAUGCUUGGGAACUUGCCUUUGCGAGGGGGAUAACAGUUGGAAACGACUGCUAAUACCGCAUAAUGUCUACGGACCAAACGGGGCUUAGGCUCCGGCGCAAAGAGAGGCCCAAGUGAGAUUAGCUAGUUGGUAAGGUAAAGGCUUACCAAGGCAACGAUCUCUAGCUGUUCUGAGAGGAAGAUCAGCCACACUGGAACUGAGACACGGUCCAGACUCCUACGGGAGGCAGCAGUGGGGAAUAUUGCACAAUGGGGGAAACCCUGAUGCAGCCAUGCCGCGUGUGUGAAGAAGGCCUUCGGGUUGUAAAGCACUUUCAGUUGUGAGGAAAAGUUAGUAGUUAAUACCUGCUAGCCGUGACGUUAACAACAGAAGAAGCACCGGCUAACUCCGUGCCAGCAGCCGCGGUAAUACGGAGGGUGCGAGCGUUAAUCGGAAUUACUGGGCGUAAAGCGCACGCAGGCGGUUUGUUAAGCUAGAUGUGAAAGCCCCGGGCUCAACCUGGGAUGGUCAUUUAGAACUGGCAGACUAGAGUCUUGGAGA